Long non-coding RNA from Gasterosteus aculeatus aculeatus (three-spined stickleback), 1792 nucleotides. The record is from Ensembl. NCBI's taxonomy places the organism in Eukaryota, Metazoa, Chordata, Actinopteri, Perciformes, Gasterosteidae.
GGUCGUUUUUGGAGGAUAAUUAUCGUGUAUCUGGCAACAUUGAGAUCGGUCGACCAAUGACUGUUCUCUCUACAGUCAGAGCUCGCGAAAGAAGGUGGAACGUAAGCGAGACACCAUUUCCAAAACUGGUAAGGGCGUAAUAACUAGUUUGUGAAAGACCCAGAGAAACACAAAUAUACGAAGACGAAGCAAAAUCCCGGACGUUUUUGGAAUCUCUGCCGGACGCAUUUUUUAGGUCUCGAAAAGAGGACAUGUUCGGGGAAAAGAGGACGUUUGGUCACCCUAAUUAAACAGUCUGAUAACUCUGUCCUCGCAGCAGCUAACGAUAGCUCACCGCUUGUGUAGCUACAGCAGCUAGCUAGCCAUCUACCUUCUAUUCGUAUGUAUUUUUCUACACAAUAGAAAAGCGAUGUGCUCUCGUGCCUCCUGCAGCUCUUCUGUGUUGCACGUCAAUACUUUGAGACAAACAAGGAGCGUCAAUCUAACGUAAAUGCUUUUCAAUAAAUGUCUUUAGUUCCUGCACAAUGAACAUGAAUCUCAAAUUAAAUUAUUAAUAUUCCCCAAAUUCCAAUUAACUACACUUCCGCUGUUACAGAGGGGAAACACUGUAAUCAUACUGUAAACUUUCAAAAGUUCAUAUGUUGUGCAUAGUUUGAAGUGAAAAAAAACUUUUCUUCAAUUGUGUUUGGGUUCAGGCUCUGUUUAGGAUCGGUAUCGGAAAAACCCAAACGAUACUCAUCCCUACUCUCAUGUGACAUGUCUGCGCGCUCAACGUGAAGCAUAAAGCAUAAAGCCAGCCGCUGGUUAGCUUAGCAUGAAGGCUGGAGACAAGAGGGCUUAAAAGGGAUGUUUAAAAAUCCGGAUUCAACAGUUUACAAAUUUCCGACUUGAUGAAACAAUGGACAAAAAUCGUUCUUUAUUUAUUCUUAAAGUGUUUGCUAUCAAGAUCAAGAUGGGGUCAUAGAAAAAAACAAGUAGAGCAAAGUGUUUUAUGCACCAUGUCAAGUGGAUGAGCUCUAUCAAUACAAAUACACCGUCCACACACACACAUUUACUCUAAAGGCUCAUUUGCAUAUUGUACCGUCACUGUAACCAUAGAGACGUUACAUCAUGAUGGAACAUUUCUCCAUGUUCCAUGUUCCAUGUUCCAUGUUCUAUGCUCCGUUCACCACAGCAUAAGAACACAGUUUGUUGCACAUCCAGUCAGUCAGUCAGUUUCAAACCUCGCAUCUACACACUGAAGUUUUCCGGACCUACACUUGCAGAAAGCAACCAUGUAAUGCCUCAGGAGUCUGUAGAGGGGACGAAGACGCAUUCUGCUGCACUUAACAGAGCUCAAGACCAACGGGACGCCAUCAGGACGGCAUCAGGACGCCACGUCAUCGGGACGGCAUCAGGACACCACGUCAUCGGGACGCCAUCAGGACGCCGCAUCAACCCCUCAGGAGCAAAUCCAGAUCUACUCAUGAAACCCACACACACCCACACACACGUACACACACACACACACACACAGAGAUAUGUACUCACAGACACACUAACAUUUGGUUCUAAACAAAGACACACACUAACAUUUAGAUGUACACAAAGACACAUUAAUAUUUAGAUAUAUACACAGACACACUAACAUUUAGAUGUACACACAGACACACUAAGAAUUAGAUGUACACACAGACACACUAAGAAUUAGAUGUACACACAGACACACUAUCAUUUGGUUCUAAACAAUGACACACACUAAUAUUUUAGAUGUACACACAGACACAAUAACAUUUAGGAUGUACACACAGAC